Molecule: ribosomal RNA, 207 nt
Filed under: uncultured bacterium
Lineage: Bacteria
Description: partial 16S ribosomal RNA
Rfam family: Bacterial small subunit ribosomal RNA
Source: RNAcentral
GGCGUAGGUGGCUAAUUAAGUCGGGUGUGAAAUCCCAGGGCUCAACCCUGGAACUGCAUUCGAUACUGGUUGGCUAGAGUUCGGGAGGGGGAUGCGGAAUUCCGAGUGUAGCAGUGAAAUGCGUAGAGAUUCGGAGGAACACCUGAGGCGAAGGCGGCAUCCUGGACCGAUACUGACACUGAGGCCCGAAAGCGUGGGGAGCAAACA